Molecule: ribosomal RNA, 253 nt
Filed under: uncultured bacterium
Lineage: Bacteria
Description: partial 16S ribosomal RNA
Rfam family: Bacterial small subunit ribosomal RNA
Source: RNAcentral
UACAGAGGUCUCAAGCGUUGCUCGGAUUCAUUGGGCGUAAAGGGUGCGUAGGCGGCGCGGUAAGUCGGGUGUGAAAUCUCGGAGCUUAACUCCGAAACUGCAUUCGAUACUGCCGUGCUUGAGGACUGGAGAGGAGACUGGAAUUUACGGUGUAGCGGUGAAAUGCGUAGAUAUCGGAAGGAACGCCGGUGGCGAAAGCGAUCCGCUGGCCCUCUUCUGACGCUGAGGCGCGAAAGCCAGGGGAGCAAACGGG